Molecule: non-coding RNA, 73 nt
Filed under: Pan paniscus (pygmy chimpanzee)
Lineage: Eukaryota; Metazoa; Chordata; Mammalia; Primates; Hominidae
Also listed under: 1 other name
Description: Small nucleolar RNA U13
Rfam family: Small nucleolar RNA U13
Source: Rfam by way of RNAcentral
AUCCAUUUGUGGUUCAUAAGCGUGAUGAUUGAGCUUUCACACACAUGUGAGACGUGCCUCGCCCAAUCCUUAA